AUGAGAUUUCAAAAUUUCAUAUAGUACGUUCCUGAUUUGACGAAAAUCUCUUGGAACGAUGAGACGAAGGGGAUCGUUGACAGUAAUUGGAAUUAGUAGAUAACAGCGCGACUUGACAGUGCCGAACAUAAUCCGCAUACCGUGAUAAACUCAUGGCGCGUGCAUCCACGAGAGAGCUUCAGCUUAACUCGCCGUCGUAGGGAGCUAAUUACUCAUGCUCGAUAUACGAACGUGAGCUUAUUGACGCUCGGUCGAAAAUAUAUGUAUAUAUCAUUAUUAAUGUUCGCUGGAUUUUUGAAAAGAUUAUUUUCUAGCGAAAAAUUAUCUGUCACGUUCCUUUCAUGAUCAUCGAGUUACAUCGUAAUUAAUUUGUAACGAGACGUUAUUGAUCUGAUCUUUCAAAAAUUAAAUAUUGAUUCUCUUAAAGCGCAAGUAUAUGUAUAAACUUAUUGCUUUUGUAGAAAGGAGAUUUCCGAUGAGACGAGCUCAAAUUGGAUCAUAUAUAUUACAGUGCAAUUUCUAUUCGCAUAGUAUACGUGUAAUGAAGACAACAAUUUAUUGGAGACUACGGUAAAAUCGUCGCAGGACACUGUAAAGGCCCGAUGGCACGUAACAUAGUGUAACCAAUCUCGAGUACUUUCCGACCAUGGCAUCCCUUCGACCUUUCCUUCUGUUCUCUCUUUCCUUUCCCUUCCGAUCUUCCUUUCCUUUACCACCUCUCUCUUUCUCUCUCUCUCUCUCUCUCUCUCUCUCUCUCUCUCUCUCUCUCUCUCUCUCUCCCAGCAACGCGUAGUUAUAUCGUAAAAUGGUGAACCCUGGCGGUGAGCCAAUAUGGCUAAGCUCCAAAUAUAUCUUACACUCUAUCUAAUUAUACGCUGUUUUAUCCAGACUGCUUUGAAAACCUCGUAAUGCUCGGUAGUUACUAGUCUAUUCGGUUGCAAGUGCUCUUCUUCUUCGAUAAGUUGAAGAUACGCUAACGUGAUAGGCUAUGAAAAGAGAAAAUUAUGCGAAAAUUUUCCUUUUGCUCGACGCGUUUCUUCCUCAUUUGGUUAUCUUUACGGAUUUACUAAGGAGAAUUCAACAGAAAUAGUUCACACGGAAGCGUUUGAGAGAAAAUUUGAAAUAUACUAUGAUGGUGAUCACUACUUUAACAGAGGAAAGAUCGAAUGAGAAAAUUUGUUUCUUCCGCGACUACACCGAUUUACAAUUGACUUUCUUUAGUCAUUAGUCACUCUGUAAUAUCUUAUAAUUAGUUAAAUUAUUACGUUUCGCUUUAAACUACUGCCGGUAUAUUAUUCUACAAUUACGACGAUAUCUCUGAAAAUGGUGAAUUAUGAUAACGUAUUGUUUAGCCGAAACACGAUAUUAUAGUCAUAAAGUAUUGAUCGUAAAUAACUUAUUAACUAAAGAUUUACAAACACAUACAUACAGAACUAAUUAUCUUUACAAUGCUAUCAAAUAUUAUUAUUAAUUCUGCGAUAGAUCUACAUAGAAUUUUCUCUCUUUCGAUAGCCAAAUUUCAUGAAAUUUUAGUGACAAUAAAGUUGGAUAUGAAUUCUUCCGAGUUGACUGACAAGUAAACGUAAAACGAUCAGGAAUCUCUAAAAGUGUAAAACGAUGAAGUUUGUCCUGAAUCGAAUCGUUUCUUCUACACUUCUAAAUCCUUACUCUCUCUUCUACCAUUCCAUUAUUCUCCGUUUGAGCUAUGAAAAUGUCGUUAAGUCGAAGAGGAGCAAACCGUGGGACGCUCGACGAUGCUUCUUUAAUUUGUCUCGGCGCGGAUUGAUGGAAGCAAUUUCGUCGUUUGCGAGAAGGUACUCUUAAAACGUCCUCGAGAACCCGCGAAAAUUUACGGGCGUCAUUUCCUUAAUUGUUCCUCAGCACGACUUAUUUUUCACGCGAAGAAUCGGCGCUAGUGCACAAUUCCUUGCAUUCUUUUGCCUUCUCGCUCGUACAUAGCAAGCAAGGAAGAAAGGAAUUUCCAAGUUCUUUGGCCUUUUACCAUAUUCACGUGAUACGGCUGCCUAAGCUAAAAUUUCUCUACAUGAAGAAGGUCUCCCGUUCUCAUAAUUAUGAUUAAACGAGAGCAAAUGGGACAAUUUUUUAAUGAGAGAGGUCGAAUAUUAAACAGACAAUUUUGAGCGAUUUCAAAAAUGUUCUGCAAGUUUCUUAAAAAUUUUUUAAAUAUAUAAUCAUAAACUAAAAAAUUGUCACAUAAAAAUAAAUUCAUCGUAAAAUCAUCUUGAAAGCAUUUAAAGCUGAUUUUUCUUCUAGAUGGUAAAUUCAAGGAAUACGUUUACAAACGUUACGAAUGAUGAAAACGCGUGAUAAAUGUUCAUGUCGAACUACUUACACGUAUUUGCGUUUCGUCAAACGAUGUUUAAGUUAAAAGGAAUUUCAUAUCGUUAAUCUAAAGUAAAUUAGUAAAUCUUAAAGCAACGAACUAGAUGCAUUUAAGUUUGAGAGCAAGAAAGACUAUUGGCUUAAUAUAAACAACUGAGCGAGUGGCAUUUGUUAUGCAGAAUAAAAGAUAAUUCGUAUUCAAAUUGAAAGAAGAAAAUGAUAACGUGUGAGUCAAGAGAAGUAAUUUAAUCUAAGGACGAUAGGACAAUGUAUCUUUUAUUUUAAUCUCAUGCGAUCACUCGAGUUUAAAUCGGAGAUAUUGUUAAUACUUUUGAAGCUAACUAAUACGAUGUGAUACGUCAUAUGUUACGCUGCGACUAUAACAUUUGUCAACAUUAAUCAUACUUUUGUAUCCUUUAAUAAGUAAGUACGUGGCAUAUACCGUGAACGUGAAUAUUUAAUAAAAACCUAAAUUUACGCAUCAAAGCGCAAAGAGUGAAUCAAAUUACUAUCAAUCUUGCUAAUUUUCUUUGCUAUUGGGAUCUAUAUAUCGUUUUGAAAGAACGAAACAACGUUUCAGCAAUAAUACUAAUUUUCAAGAUCCAGAAAGAAAUAUGAAGAAAGGUAAAAAUUUCUUCAACGAGGCGAAAGUUAAGUCGCUAUUUCAUGUCGUUUCUAAGCUCAAGCAGGCCAGCAUCGAGUGCCUCCGAAAAUUGCCCAACCAAGCAAAUUUGAAGGCACCUCGAAGCGAGGAUGCUGUAUUCUUUCUCUUUUUCUAACUCCUCUCUCUUUCCCUCUCUCUCUCUCUUUCCCUCUCUCUCUCUCUCUCCCUCUCUCUCUCUCUCUCUCUCUCUUCUGAUGUUUCCUUUUUACAUCCUACCUCUCAAGAAAACUUGCAAUAUAGAAUCAAGUUCUCAAAAUAUAUUGGUCGCCAUAUUUAAAAAGUGAAAGAAGCAGAAGACGGAAAACCGUAGCGGUGGCUUUCAUUCAAAUAAGAUGCCGAGGUUGCGAGAGAAGAAGAACUAAAAAAGGAGGAAGGAAAAGAAAAGGAAGUGGAAGAACCACGCAAGAAUACAGCAGCAGUACGUCGGUGAGGAAACGAGAAAAGAAGAAAAAAGGUGUUGGUCCGUUCGAGUGUUUUUCUAUUCAGAGAAGGGUUCGUAUAAAGUUCUAUAUACGCGGCUUCUAUCCCGUUCUAUUCCAUGGAUGCUGAGAUCUUCAAGAGAAGUAGAGAUCGAGUAGAGGAAGGGACUUGGAAGGAGGGAACGGAGAAGCCUGUUCCCCAUUCCGGAGAACCGUUCAUUGAAACGAAUGGCCUUGUCUACCCCUUUCUUCUCAUCCUUCUGUAUCUCAUAUCUCCGUUCUUCCUUCUUUUUCUCUUUCACUCUUUCCGAACGCGAUCCCAAAUGCUCUCAUCCUCUUCGCAAAGGUUAUCUAUGUCUUCAUCUUUCUCUUUCCUAUACCUCCUUCUCCUUCUUCUUUCUCUUCUUCCUCUUCUACUUCUUGUUUCUCAUCGUUUUCUUCUUCUCUUCUACUCAUUCUUGUCAUCCAGGAAUCCAUCAAGAUUACUUAUUCUCCGCCAAAGGACGCUCAAAGCACAACCUAAAGCAUUAUUUAAAUAAACACGGAGUUACUGCUGCGUGAAAAAGCAAACGAGAAAGGAGUGGUUGGGAAAAAAAGCGGAGACGUGCGCAAUCCAGGGUUAUAUUAAUGGCUCCUUAUUUGAGCGAAGAAACAAGAGGAGUACCCACCUUUCUAUGAUCUUAGAAAGAUGAGAUUUUCCACUCGUUAAGACAAGCCGCGUCUUCGAUAAUAGAUUAUUAUUUUAGUAUUGUAUUUAAACUUGAGAGUGAAUACAAGAUAGAACGAAAAAGAUGAGUAGAAAAAUUGAAGAUAAAUAUGCGUGUAUGAUAAUAUUGUGAACUAUGACAUUUACUUAUACUUUUUGUGAUUGUCAUUAUCUUCCGUAACGAUUAAUCUUUCAUCACGCUAGACCAGUUGUUAAAGUAAAUUUUCAUUUCAACAGUGCAAUAUGAGGACCAUGAUUAUUCGACGACGUAUGUGUCCGUUUACAGUAAUAAAUAAAUAAACUUCAGCCUGUUGGCAGGAGAAACGUAGUACGUAGACCUCUUUCCUGGACGAACUUUGUAGCUUGAGAAAGAUAAAGAUGUACAGAGAUGCAAAGAGAGAGAGAGAGAGAGAGAGAGAGAGAGAGAGAGAGAGAGAAGGAGAAAGAAAGAGAUGAACAAACAGGAGCAGGAGAUGAAAGAGGGGAGCGUAUAACUCUAUGUUUCAUGUUGUUUUCGUUCGCGUGCCGGUCUAUUUUAACCAUCACGCAGCAUUCCAAAAAGACAGUGCUGUGGAUACGCGCUUAUGUUUAUGAAUAGCCAUUAACCGUUACCGUAAGUACAAAUUUGUCUUGAAAUUUGAACUAGCCCGAUCUGAGAAGAAAAAAAAAACUGGAAAAUAUUAUCAUUUAUCUUUCAAGCAAGUAUUGAGAUAUAAGGUUGUAUGCACAAAUCGUUCAAUUUUGCAAACAUUUUAUAUUCGAAUAAUAAUGAGAGGUUAAUAUCGAAACAUGCAAACGAUUCUACAAAAUAAAAAAAUAAAAAAUAAAGGGAAAAGUUAAAAGCACGUUAAAAAUAAUAAUUUCGCGAUAAUGAAAGUUGCUUUCUUGCAAUGCGUUACGGAUUACGCAUUACAAUUGCAUGUCGGCAAGUAAAACUUCAAGAAGAUUGAUCGAUGAAAAAAUUUAAUCCAUUUUUCUCAGAAUAUUUAAUCAAUCAAAUUCUGCUUUUGGACUUUCCUUGAACUUAUUGGCAUGGGAUAAAUUGUUUAAUGGAAAUGAGUUUACGAACAAUAAUAUUGAAAUAAAUUAUCUUAAACCUAGUUAAAAAAUAUUUUUAAAAUAAUUAACAAAGACGUAGAUAUAAUGUUAGUCGACGAAAAAUAAGGAUAAAAAAGUGAUCGGAAAAAAGAAGAUGGCCUAUUUAUAUAUCUUCUAUUUAUAUUCUAGAAAAUAGCAAAAAAGGACACUGACAUAGUCGUAGAUUCUGCUGGAGGGCCGAUUCGAGUAGAAAGAAGAAGAAGGUGGAGAGAAGAAGAAGAAGAAGAAGAAGGGAGGUAGAAGAGAAAGAAGAGGAACGAAGAGGAGUUGAUUUGGUAGGCACAUAUAGAUUGCUACAUAGGAACGUAGGAGGGAUGACAGAACCUGAAGCCUACCUGGCCACGAGCCAAACCCGUUCUUCUACGAGUUGCGAUAGUGCAUACUCGAUGCAUAGUGGGUAUCUAGCCACCACUCUAUCCCCACCACUCGGUCGCAUGGGUGCCCGCAUUGCAGCUAUGGCCCACCAUUCUAAUGAUGGCAACCACGCAGUCGUGAGGAUUUUCAUUGGCAAAAUGUUCGAAAAUAUCGGACGAAGUUAUAUGAGCAUUUUAAAGCGAUUCACUGGAAUGGCUUUUAUUUCUAACCGAGCAAAAGCCGAUUACGCAAGGCGAUAUUGGUAUCGAGAAAGGGGGAAAUGAAGAGAACGAAGGGGAAAGCGAAGAUGAGCGAACUCGUGCAUAGACGCAUUAGUUAACCUUCGUUAACUUCGAAUUGUCCUCCCUGUUGAAUUUAAUGUAUCGGUGACGUCAAAGCAACAUAUAUUAAUACGACGUAAAGUGCAAAACAAGAGGAGAUGUCCCGUACCUCGACGAAUAAUUCAUCCGUAGGAAGCUGUAUGUAUAUACGAAGAAACGAUGUUAUUCAUGAAAAUCUAAGAUGGCAGCUCGUAAAGUCUCCAAUCAACCUUUCAUUCGCAUCAUUCUUGCAAGGGUCGGAAAAAUCAGAUAUCGAUGAUCUCAAAGAAAGACAAUGUGCUAAGUAGAAUUGUUACUUGUAUCACGAAUGAAGGGUGUUUCAGCAAAGUUGAUUACCACACGAAUGUAUGCACGUAAAGCGAACGUAGUCAUCAGUGGAAGAACGCAGACACGCGAGAUAAAGAAAAGAAUAUGGCGGCAUUUUGUGAAAGGAUUUUACAUGCAUUUAUCAUCGAACAAAAUUUUUUUAGUCAAAUGAUAAUUAAUAUUAAUGGAAUAGAUUAAUGUGAAGUCAGCAAGACAAGACCAGUAGAAAUUAAUUUGUAAUUUUUCCUACAGCCGAUCGUGUUGAGAUAGAACGAAGGGUAUAUACGAAGAUGUGGAAAAGAUUAAUCCAUAAAAGAAUUUUAUGUUAAGCUUUAAAGUCCUCAUUGAAGCAACAAUAAGAAACUUUCUGUCACCAUUUGUUCACUGCAUGUUUCAAAACAUUUUCAACAAACGCAUAUAGCAAUUUAUAGAAAUAUUUUGCCAACAUUGAAGCAACAUUAUCUCAGGAACAUUUUUAUUUUGUUUCGGUUUUAAGACUACACUUAUGUAUACAUUGUAGGAGCAUUUGUUUCUGCUACCACGUAUUCUCUAUUUUUGUCUUUUUUAUCUUUACCGGUUCGAACGGAAACAGUCAAUAAGCGGUAGUAUUUGUUCCUGACGACAGAAAUCUGCAGAAAGAUCCGGUAACAAACGGCGAUUUUUUCAAGAUACAUGGAAUAUCAAUAUGAAAUAUUAUUGUUUUUGCUUCAGUGAGGACAAGACUUAAUAUAAUGUAUGUACUCCUAUAUGACUUACAACUGCAUUCUAUUCGUUCUAGUUUUCUUGUAAUUUCCAACUGUACUGCUUAACAUAAAGCCAUCCAUCGAAUUAUAUCUUUUUACAAAUUUUUGUAAAUAACAUUUGCUUUAUAAAUUAAAUGUUUCUUCUCAUUAAUGAUUCUUCUCUAUCGUUAAUUUAUCUUCAAAUCAAUGCAACAGAAAAGACACCAAACAGAAAAAGUCAAGUUGUGAUAACUUCUACUUAUCUAUUGACCGAUAUAAUAUAAGUAUAUAUAUAGGGUGAAUCUAAAUUCAGCUGACAAACUGUGUUGGCUAAUAGGAGAAUUUUAUCAUUUGAAGUAUUUUGAGAUGGUAAACUAUGCUGGAAAUCCUUUGUUUUUUACCAAUAGGGUGAAACAAUUUGAUAAUAAAAUUAUUUUCUAUAGAAAGUAUAUGCUCGCACUGUACCUUAAUUUACUUAAACACUAAGGUAGUCUAAUUACAGUUUCCUAUCCAGAUAGUGGCUUAGAAUACUGUAGUAUUAAUUUAAUUUUUUAUAUUAAAUAAUUGAUUUAUUAAAAAUAGUUAUAAUUGUGUUAUAAGUACAGUUAAAAAGUAAGAUGAUAAAGCAUAAAUAGUUUUUAAAUAAAAAUAAUUAUCACCCUGUGUCUUGUGAACAACUGAUUUCUGACCAUUGAUUUCCUAUCUCAAAUUAUUUAGUUGGCUGUCCUUUAUAAUUACUGGAGGUUUGAAUUUAGAUUCAUCCUGUAUAUGUAUUCCUAUAUGAUCACGAGCAAAAGUAGAAUAUAGGUCUCGGUAGUGUUGCUAUUUUGAAUCGACGACGCCUACGUUCUCUCUCUCUCUCUCUCUCUCUCUCUCUCUCUCUCUCUCACUCACUCUUCCUCUUUGGUUGGCCUAACAUCAAAAUCGUAAAGAGCAACCAAUUCGAUCUGUUGUCAUUCAAAGAAUGCUGUGCCAAAUCGAUUCAGUGGUGGUCAUAAACUCGGCCACUUUGAACCCUCAAAGACAGUCCCAUUCUUUUAGCAAAAGAACGAGAAACGAAAUUGUGUGAUUUUGUUCGCUCUUUCUCUUUCUUUUACUUUCUUUGCUUUCAACUUUAGUACAUUUUGAUCGUUCAUAAAAGUCUCGAUUCACAACAUCAGAAAUAACAAAAUAACGAUGGACGAAGAAAAGGAAGUUCGCUUGUGCGAAAGACGAUAUCUUAAAGUUUGAAAAGAGCGAGAGGAAGAUGCAUGCUACGAUAAGAAUUAUUCCCAUCGCAUCGUUAUUAUUUACGAACAUAGAAAGACACCAACUGGCUACUCGGGAGCGUCUUCUUUUUUAGAAGGCUCGUAAAAUGCAGCACUUUGCGAUAUCAAAAUGCCGUGCGCACCUAGCGCAAAAGAGACUUGGCCAUAUUUUAUACCCUUGCCUUCUUCUUAAGAACGUGGACGUACGUAGACGAGAGACACUCGACUCGAUUUCUUUCUCUCUCACUCUCCUCUCUCGCGAGCGAGCGAGCACUUGCAGGAAACGUUUAAACGUUGAAAAAGAACUCCCCUUGUCGUUCCUAGUCGUUUUUUUUCUCCCAAUGCACUGCGACGAUACAGUGCGGCGGUUGAAAGAAAGAACGUAGUCCAAGAAGACGGAAAAAAGAUUAGAAAGAAAAUAGUCAGGUUUACGUUUGCGUAGAAGCGACCUUAAUUUCCAGCGUAUAUUUAAACUCUUUAAGCCGCUCGUUUUCCUUUAUGGCAUUACCUCCUACUAUUAGUAUUUUCUCUCUCUUCUGGUCCUCUCGGCCAGAUCUUCUCCUCUUUUACCCCUUCUCGUCUUCUCACUCCAACCCUCUUGGCUCGUCUCUCCUUCCAUUUGCUCUGUUUGCCUAUACUUCGCCCCAUAGUGAACAAAAGACAAACUCCUCUAUACCGGGGGUGGAAACUUCCGUCCUGUCGACGGAAAUGAAACGUCGAGGCCCAGCGACCUCCAGCUUAAACGCAACUGUUCUCUUCUUCCUUGUAGUACCUGACGUCCCAGAACCAAAAGCUUCUACUUCCUUCAUUUCGAUUUUCCCCGAUACUACAAUGUUCCAUAUACAUAUACUUAUGUCAUAGCGAAUCGUUGAAUAAUGCUUAGCGACAAACAAGAAAAGAAUUAGAACGUUUACGAAUGAAUAUUUCCACUUAAAAAUGUAUAAUGACUUGCUUGAUGCCUUUCUUUUGAUGCACGAUAUAUAUAUAUAUAUAUAUGCUAAGAAGCUUAGAAAAUGAUCUCUUCAAGAUCACAAGAAGUAAAAAAUGAUAUCUCUACGAUGACAAGGAAUA
Vespa crabro (European hornet) is the source of this 9271-nucleotide long non-coding RNA. RefSeq lists it as uncharacterized. NCBI's taxonomy places the organism in Eukaryota, Metazoa, Arthropoda, Insecta, Hymenoptera, Vespidae. The record is from RefSeq and is a predicted model, not a curated record. The transcript has 3 exons.